UAGGGAAUAUUCCGCAAUGGGCGAAAGCCUGACGGAGCAACGCCGCGUGAGUGAAGAAGGUUUUCGGAUCGUAAAGCUCUGUCAACAGGGACGAAACAAGACGGUACCUGAGAAGGAAGCCACGGCAAACUACG
RNAcentral lists this ribosomal RNA (134 nucleotides) under uncultured bacterium. RNAcentral's name for it is "partial 16S ribosomal RNA". It matches the Rfam family "Bacterial small subunit ribosomal RNA", at positions 355 to 505 of the family's 1533-position model. The record is from RNAcentral.